CAUAGAGCCGGCCCUGCUCGGGGGCGCUGCCCUCUGGCUGCAGAUCGGUGCUCGCCGCUCGCUGGACUCCCUCGCCCCGCAGCAUGGACCCGGCUCGCCGCCUGCUGCCCCUCGGGCUCUGCAUCGCCCUGUGCCUGGGGGGCACCAUGGCCCAGAAUAACGGCACACAAGGUACCACUGAGAACUGUAACAGCCAUGUGCUAUGCCCAGCAAACGCCAAGUGUGUGAACAACACCCACUGCACCUGCCUGGAUGGAUACCAGACAAGUGGGAAUCACCCCGUCUUCUUCACUGACACAAUGGAGAUCUGUGACGAUAUUAACGAGUGUCUGGGGCCGAGCCCGCCAGACUGCGGACCCAACGCAAACUGCGCCAACGUGGCUGGGAGUUACUACUGUGCCUGUAUCCAUGGCUACGGUCCCAGCUCUGGGAAAGCCAACUUCACGCAUGCAAAUGAGAGCACCUGCCAGGAUAUUGACGAGUGUCAGGGCCUGAGCCCGGCAGACUGUGGACCCCACGCAAACUGCACCAACGUGCCUGGGAGUUACUACUGCACCUGUGUCGAUGGCUACGAGUCCAGCUCUGGGGAAGCCAACUUCACGCACGCGAGUGAGAACACCUGCCAGGACAUUGACGAGUGCCAGCGAAACACCACAAUCUGUGAGCCCCACGGGAACUGCAUCAACAUGCUAGGGAGUUACAUGUGUAAAUGCAGUGAGGGAUUUGGGAAGAGUCAAAAGGAUACGUCUAAGAUCUGCACAGACAUCAACGAGUGCAACAAGACCCGAGAUAUCUGCGGCCCCAAUGCCACAUGUGUCAACACCUACGGAAGCUACUGGUGUGAGUGCCGGGCCGGCUACGUCCCCUCCAACAGGAACAGGACCCUGUGCCAAGAGCUCACCUGCCCCCGGCUGCCGGAUGAUGACAACUCUGCCGAAGCCAAGAACCUCCAGGGCAGCUUCCCAGCACAGGUGGGACGUCUCUGCAAGGCGGCGCUGGAGGAGCUGAAGCAGAUGAAGGCUCAGAGCGCUGAGUCUGUGAUGGGGCAGCUGCAGGGCUUCUUGGACAUUCUGGAGAAGCAGAUAAAUCUGGUCGGGCAGCAGAGCGAGAGCGUGGAGUGGAGACACCAGAUUGCAACGGAGCUGAUGGCCAUAGUGGAGAAGCUGCUGAGGACACUGGCCCUGAUGCUGCCUGACAGCACGAUCAGCGUCGCAUCCCACAAUGGCACAGAGCUGGGGCUGGCGGUCAGGCAGGCUGGGAACCAGAGCCAGGAGACGGUGACGCUGCAGCAGAGCAAGACGCAGAUGGAAUUAAAGUGGGCCGGAGACCCAGGGCAGAAAAAAGGCUUCUUGCUGGCCGGGUUGCUGACAUACCAGGGGAUGAGCCCCAUCCUGGACGGUGCUGUGCGGGUGGAGAUGCCCAAGUGGGACAAGAUCGGCCAGACGGGGAAGCGGGCACAGGAGCCCGGGCGGCCCAGCUACCGUGUGCUGUCUCCAGUGGUGUCGGCCUUCAUCAAUGACCCGAACCCCCAGGCACUCGGCCUCUCUGUCAGCAUCCGCUUCAGCCACCCGGUGCCGGAGAACAAGACUGACAUGCGCCUCCUCUGCGCCUACUGGAAGCCUGACAGCAGGCGCUGGGCGACCGAUGGCUGCACCCUGCAGAAGUUGAACACCACCAUCACCCGCUGCCAGUGCAACCACCUGACCAGCUUCGCCGUGCUCAUGGCCUUCUACGAGCUGGAGGACUGGACCCUGGACCUCAUCACCAAGGUGGGGCUGGUGAUCUCGCUGCUGUGCCUGCUGCUGUCCAUCAUCACCUUCCUCUUCUGCCGCGCCCUCAAGGGCCCCCGCACCACCAUCCACCUGCACCUCUGCCUGGCGCUCUUCAUCGCCUACACCGUCUUCCUCACCAGCACCUCCAGCACCGGCAACAGGGUGGUGUGCGGCGUGGUGGCCGGGCUCCUGCACUAUUUCUUCCUGGCCGCCUUCUGCUGGAUGUGCCUGGAGGGCGCCGAGCUCUACCUGCUGGUGGUUCAGGUCUUCACCCCCCACGGCCUCAGACGCCGCUACAUGUUCCUGCUGGGCUACGGCGUGCCGGCCCUCAUCGUGGGCGUCUCGGCCGCCACCUACAGCGAGGGCUACGGCACGGCGCGCCACUGCUGGCUCUCGCUGGAGAAGAAAUUCAUCUGGAGCUUCCUGGCGCCCGUCUGCAGCAUCAUCGCGGUCAACGCCGUGAUCUUCGUGGUCACCGUCUGGAAGCUGUCGCUGAAAUUCGCUGACAUCAACCCCGACAUGAGCCAGCUGAAGAAGCUCAGGGUGCUCACCAUCACGGCCAUCGCCCAGCUCUGCGUCCUGGGCACCACCUGGAUCUUCGGCCUGUUCCAGUUCAACCAGCGCAGCCUGGUCGUCUCCUACAUCUUCACCAUCCUCAACAGCCUGCAGGGGCUCUUCAUCUUCCUGCUGCACUGUCUGCUCAAGAAACAGGCCAGUCCCCCCCGAGCCGGAGCUCAACCCCUGCCCCACAGCGCCCCCCCAGGAACCCUCCCAGCUGGCGCUCUCCAGCCCCUCCUCUGGCCUUUGUCUCUUUCCCGGGCCAGGAGGUCGCCUGAUCGCUUUGUUCUCCAACACCUUGAGUUAGCACCUUUGCAGGGGAGGGGCCCAGGAGACGGGGUGUCGGCCAUUCUCUGUGCAGACACCAUCACACUGGCUCUCUCGGGCUCUGCAACAAUCGCACCCCCUUAUCCCACCACCUAGAUACUUGAGAAAUGCAUAGGGGAAACUGAGGCACCCACACAGUAUUCAGAGAACAUUCCCACUUCGUCUUACCCCGCACCAGCCAGCGCUCCUGCCCCACAGUGCCCCACACUGGGAGGUCCCUCUGGUGGGAGGGGCUGGGGCUGGCUUUGCUGAGAGCUCCUGCCCUGCCUGGCAAGUUCCGGGCCCUUGUCUCCCUACAGCUGAGACCCCACCCCAUGAGCUCCCCUGUGCCGUGGAGUAACCAGCCCUCUCCUCUCUCCUGCCAGGUGAGGGAUGAGUACCGCAGGUGGCUGAGCUGCGGCGGCCUCAAGAGACCAGCCAAGUACUCCAAGUUCUCCAGCUCCAGCACCACGCGGGGGUUCCAGCCGUCACAGGAUUCGGGGUUGUAGCUCUCUUGCACUCAGCCCAUUUCCGGACACCACAGCUUUGCACAUGAGAAAACCCGGCCCCCUGCCCCCGGCCUGGCCCUGCCCGUGAGCAGAGACCCACCACGCACCCGGACUCGCCGCAUGCAGAUGCUUCAACGGUUGCCCAGCGGAACCUGCCAGGCAGCGGGGGGCACCGUUACGCUGCCCAGCUGCCCCCACCCGCUGGGCACUCACCAGCCCCAGGCCUGCGCCCGGCCAGCAUCGCCAGCAAUAGCAACGCCAACAGGGCAGCCGCUCAGCUCCGACGCGACGUCCUCUGGCCACAGGGGGCGCCUUUCCCUUUGGUACGACCGGGUCCCCGGCCCCGCCUGCGGUACGACGCUGGGCCGGGCUGAGCGCGGGCAGUGGAGAUGAAUCCAGCCAGCAGUGAUGAACCCCUCCCCAGAGGACCCCGCCCCUCCCCCCAGGCACUGCAGCACCAGCCACCGCCCUUGGCUUCGAUGACGGUACGACACGGCCGGAGCUGAAGCAGGCAAGCGGCCCCAGCCUGCGGCGGUCCCCAGGGCUCGGCUGUCUGUCUCACUGGGGACACUGGUUUUAAAAAUGAUCUUUUUAAAGUUAUUAAAAUAUUAAGUUUUGUGGCUU
Malaclemys terrapin pileata is the source of this 3769-nucleotide RNA transcript. It is a transcript of the gene named adhesion G protein-coupled receptor E5-like, with no coding region annotated. The record is from RefSeq and is a predicted model, not a curated record. Lineage: Eukaryota; Metazoa; Chordata; Testudines; Emydidae. The transcript is spliced from 19 exons.